GAGGAAAAAGAAACAAAUAACUGCAUCACUUUAAUGCGAUGUGAUUGCAAAGACAGACCCAGCAAUAAGCUAGGAGCAAAGGCAAAGAGCCAGUUUACUGUGGGUUUAUGUAAGUAGACCAUCAUGCAAGCCCUGUAAGAGAAAUGGAGUAAUCAAAAUAGCACAAGACAAUGAAUGGAGUGUUGAUACUCCCUGGGUGGGAUUAUUCUGCACCAAUUCAUUUUGCUACGUCUACUGUAGGAAAGGAUAUCAAGGUAGAUAAUGUAUGGUAGAUGAAGUCCUAAAGAAAUGAGAAGCUAUUCUAUAAGCUUGAUUUACUGGAAGAGAUGUAAUCUUUACAGACUACAGUGAAUUUCUUAACAUGAAAAAAAUAACCUUUAAAAACUAUCACAUUACUGACAUCUUAUUAAAUGUUCCUGUAGCAAAUAAGAUAAACAAGGCAUUCAGUGAACCAGACUAGGGACAGGUAAUAGCUACUUAAUGGAAAGCAAAGAUACAAGUUUAGGUCCUUCACACACUAUGUUAAUUAAACAGCAGGUGUGCUUCAAGAUCUGGCAAGUUAAAGCUACUUCAGAACAGUUGCUUCAGAUACUCCCUGUCUUCUACCAGAAAGACUUUGGUCUCUAUUUCAUUUUCCUGUAUCAAGUAGUCUGUUCUGUUAAUUGACUUUGUUUGCCCUGCAUGGUAUUUCUUCUGACAGAAUAAGUGUGCCAGGUCUCCUACACCAUUUCCCAACAGUACUAAUGUAUGACCAAAAUUAAGCUAGGAAAUGGUUUUGCUCCGCUUUAUAACUUUGCCAUAUUUUUCAUGUAUAUGAAGUUUUGUGAUAUUUUAAGUUCUUUUACUCAAAGUCAGCAAGUAUCUGAUCUAAUUCAGACCAAGGGCUCCCAGCUGAAGCUUACUGUUCCACAUACUUAGUUUCUCAUAUGAUACCAUAGGGACUCUACUGAGGAACACACAGUUGAGACUUGAAAUGUGCAGAUAUUAAUUCACAUUUCAACUUAAUACCCUAUUUUCAUUGAAAUCCAAAUUUCAGUCUUGUACAGGUCCCCAAGGCAUUUGUGAUUUGUGGAAUGUCCAGUUCCUGACAUAGCACCAUAAAAAUCACCACAGUAUCACCAAGUAGUGCAAUGCUAGGUUAACCUUUAACAAAGGGGUUGUUGUGCUUUUGGGAAGCUCUGUUUCUUUCUCAUCAGUUCUCCAGUUUCUUGCUGAUCUGAUCUAUGUGCACUCAAGUUCCUGUCAUGCAGGGAAGCUCAGAACUCCCUUCUUCUGUCCUGCAGUGGAACAUCUCCUCCUGCCUCAGAGACAUUCCUCCCUGGUGCAUGACUCAUCUGUGGCAGCUCUUCUCCAGCACUUUCCAGGAGAUGAGAGUAAUCCCCCAUUUCUGGAGAGGAAAGAGGCACAGGGUGCUGAGGCAAGUCCCACACAUGGGACUUAUGCACAAACUGCACUAGAACAUAUCCAGUAAUUUUGGUACUGUACACACGUGGAUUCACAACAGUAGUGUGGUAUCAUUGUGUUGCAGAUCACUGAACAAGAUGAAUGCUUAACACAGAUUACCUUGUGCUGAUUGCCUGGAUAUUUUACUUACUGAAACUGUAAAUACUUUAUUUUUUGAGGAUUCAAGACAGAUGGGUAUGUGAUAUCUUAAUGCUAACUUUUGCAGCAGUGAAAUGAAAUCUAUUAAUAUGCUAUUCACGUUGAGGGUUGUUUGUAGGCUUCUCUAAGAUCUGAUGAUUACUACUGCUAGGAGUAUUUAGACAUAUAUUAGACUUCUGUAAACAAAAUAUAGACCUCUAAUGAGGAAAAAAAUAUUUUACUUUACAAAAAAAAGUUGGUAGGUAGCUUGAAUAUUGCUGAAAAAGUUAUUGAAUAUGUUCCUAGCAGCUAAGAUGCUAUCAAAAUAUAAGCAAAGUGAAAUUAAUCCUAAAUUUUUGAAUACAUAUGUAUAAGAUAACAUUCUCACUCUAUCCAAAGGGACGUAUCUCUGAAAUUGUCUGACAACAAGAGCUACUUUUGAACAGAUUAAUCUAAAUACACGUAUCCAAGUAGAGAAAAGCCAAACUAGGUACCCUAGAUUUUCAGAGUUAACUUUCAUUUCACAUAGUUUCUUGGAGAAAAAGGAGAACCUCAGGUGUUGCAUUAGGCCUUUUCACAAACACUGAUAUUUAAACACCAGAAAACUGUGUGGUUUUUUUUUUUUUCCUGCUCUGCUCUGUGCUAAUGAUAUGAUUUUUAGCCUCAUAGUGCCUGUUAAAAUGAAAUUAUACAGACUUAGAAUUAUCUCUUCUAACAGGAGACAAGGCAAAACAUAUCAGAGCCAACGGGAAUGCAUGCAGUUUAGGGAUUUUGUUGUUUUACAGAUCAUAAUAUUCUCAUAAUACAAGAGAGAUUACGGAAAUAUGGCAUAGUCUUAUUUUGUCUGACAUGGUAAAGAAAGAAAGAUUUAAAGGAUUAGUCUUGAUGACUUAGCUGUUCCUUUGCAAUGUAUUGUGAUAUAAUAAGAAAUAAUGCAGUGCAUAUCCUGAACAUAAAAGAGAGCCUCUGGUCAGAAUCUCGUUAAUGCCAGAAAUGAUUUAAAGCUAGCUAGCAGUCCCAGUUUUCUGUCCCAGAAAUGACAACACAAGACGUGACACCUCUUAUUCUAAUACUACAUAAGAGCAUAUCACGCAUACGAUUAAGAUAUCAUUCAAGAAAACUAAUUCCUUUGUAUUCACUUUUCUUCGUUGUUAGAAUCCUGAGGACAGUACCAGAAAGCAGGGUUAGGUUUUAGGUGGAAGCUUCUACUUUGACAAGAAAUGAAACUGCCUUCUUUCUUUUCCUAGUUCUUUGCUUUUUGAGAGGGAUAGGCUAAAGACGCAAAGUGGUAGAACUGUUUUUCACUCAAGUCAGCUAAGUGCCCCAUUUACACAUUCAUUAGACAUAAAGCUUCACUCACUGUGCUAACAAAUCACCAUAAUGAAGUCUUUACACACCCACACACAUUUAUACACAUGCUGUUGCUCAGCUUGCACCUGCAAUGUUGGUGAAUAGAUGUGUAAUUGUAUAUUUACGUUGCUGAAAGAACAGUUAGCUACUAGGCAAGGUCUAUAUAGCUACAGUAAGUAAAGCUUCUUCUUUUUUUUUUUCUCUACAUUGCUAUCGUUGACAACUUUUUGGAAGCUGCUUUAUGGCAUAAAUCAAACCAUGCUGUUACACAACUCUGGAAGACUUUUCCAAGGAGCCUGUAGCACCUCCAUUCGGGUUGGCAUUUAGUCAUGAAUGCACUGGGCACCUGGUCCUGGGCUUCUGUCUCUUGUGGAGUCAGAGAUACAGGAGCUAAAAGCUCCUAAUAAGCUGAAAGCAAAGGGAAGUGCUAGAGAGCAGAAGUUUAAACACAGUCUUACGGCUAAAGGAAGUUGUUUAGAAGGGGUCAAAAACUGCUACUAGAAGAGUUUCCUGAAAAUAAUAGCAUAUGCUAAAAUCUUCAAAAUCGGUCAUGUUUGUGUUGCUAAUAGCAAUACUGCAUUUUUUGCUUUGAGCUUUUCAGUCAGAUAUUACACUAACAGGAUACCACAAAUCAGUAACCCCAUUCUCCGAGGGGCUACAUCAAUAUAUAUAAGCAUAUAACAAAACAGCCAACAUUUGAAGUGGCACAAAUAACCCAUCCCAAUGAUGUGACUAAGCCUCAUGGGAUGGACAAUUUCACUGCCAUUGCAUAUGGAAUUCUUAUUCUGUAAACAGCAGAAUUUCAGUCCUUUUGGGAAUAGUGCAGUUACUUGAAGCACGCACACAGUGUGCAGUUUGUUAGUCCAUUAUAUACACUUUGUUUACUAAACAACAAGAGAUUUGAUGAAAUGAUCAGGAGACAGAAGUAGAAUUUUUCAGCUAUUCAUAACUUUGUGGCUGAUUUAACCAUUCACCUAGAAUUGUAAUGCAAUUUUAUACUGAAUUUUCAAAACGUUUAAGCACACAAUCACAUAGCUCCAACCAAGUUAUUGUAUUUGUAACUGACUACUCAACUGCUUAAGCAGAUGGGGGGAAUAAGGCUUUUGUUUAAACAGGGGGGGAUAAGGCUUUUGUUUAAACAAAGACUAACUCUUAAUGUAUUUGAUUAGUUUGGGCUGUCAUAUUUACCAGAAAUAUAGAAAAUUUAGACAGUGAAUGUUGAAAAAUCCCAUUAUCUGUCGUCGUGGUCCUUCUUGAGAAACCACCUGUGGAUGAUCCUACUUCCUACGCAAUCAGUAGCAUAGAGGUCAGAAUUUGGCCAGAUUGCUGUUUCUCCCUCAAGUUUUUUUUUUUUUUUUUCCCUUUUAAUUAUCUGAGUUUUUCUUUGUUAGUUUUAUUUUGUUGUUGUUUUUAAGCCUAGGUAAGUCCAGCUACUGGACUAUUACCCUAUAUCCCUGUUCUAUACAUUGUUUUCAGUUUCCCAGGAGUCACUUCAUAUACUCUUUGCCACAAUGGCUUUUAGCAUGUCUAACUCUCUGGAUUGGAAUGGUUAAAAAAGGUUAUCCUACCAUGGUUCAAACAGGGAGUGUUUCCCUGGCGCUGCAUGUCCCUAGGGUGUGAUCACCUUCAUAGAGCAGAAGAUGAUGACAAAUUCUUCUCAUACCCAUUUACAAAGGGCUACAUUUUAGUUUGAGUGGCACUCAGC
This 4636-nucleotide long non-coding RNA is filed under the name Gallus gallus (chicken). RNAcentral describes it as "long non-coding RNA NONGGAT014347". Lineage: Eukaryota; Metazoa; Chordata; Aves; Galliformes; Phasianidae. The record is from RNAcentral.